UGGGGAAUAUUGGACAAUGGGCGAAAGCCUGAUCCAGCAAUGCCGCGUGAGUGAUGAAGGCCCUAGGGUUGUAAAGCUCUUUUGCCCGGGAAGAUAAUGACUGUACCGGGAGAAUAAGCUCCGGCUAACUCCGUGCCAGCAGCCGCGGUAAUACGGAGGGAGCUAGCGUUGUUCGGAAUUACUGGGCGUAAAGCGCACGUAGGCGGCUCAGCAAGUCAGGGGUGAAAUCCCGGGGCUCAACCCCGGAACUGCCCUUGAAACUGCUAAGCUAGAAUCCUGGAGAGGCGAGUGGAAUUCCGAGUGUAGAGGUGAAAUUCGUAGAUAUUCGGAAGAACACCAGUGGCGAAGGCGACUCGCUGGACAGGUAUUGACGCUGAGGUGCGAAAGCGUGGGGAGCAAACAGG
RNAcentral lists this ribosomal RNA (404 nucleotides) under uncultured bacterium. RNAcentral's name for it is "bacterial SSU rRNA". It matches the Rfam family "Bacterial small subunit ribosomal RNA", at positions 355 to 776 of the family's 1533-position model. The record is from RNAcentral.